AAAUUAAAGGCUCCUUGACUUAUAUUAGCUGCAUGCCUAUGGUUAUUAUUCUUGUUAACUGUCUGUGCACUACAAGAAAUUAGAGUAUUAAUAGCAUUAUAAUAUAGCGUUUAAUGUUUUUUUGCUAUAUUUGAUAUAUCCUCUAAUUUUUUUUAUAGCGUUUGCUAAAGUGUAAACGCUAUGUUUUUUUUUCUCACAUUCUCUGUCAAUUCACCAAAUUUAGAACCAGGCUUCUCCUCCGAUUAAAUCCUUUACCCAGAUUUAAAACCAGAUAGAUCAUCUUGAUCUACUUUCUCCAUAUAACGAAACCCUAGUUACGCCUUUUCAGUAGAUACAGAUCUUUUAUCUUGUCUUUCUCUCCCUUUCACUCUUUCUUUUAAAAUCGAUCCCUAGCCACUUGUGAAGCAAAAGAGAUAGGGAUUUGAAACCCUAGCCACCAUCGCACAUAUCUCUCUUCGUAUCUGCUAGAUCUGUUCGUUUUCUUCCAUCUGUAUUGUGAAACCCGAGAUCUAGUGAUAUCCGUACAAGGUCUUCGUUUCUUUAAGAAAAGCAUUGUGGGAUUGAUUUCAAGAAGAACAUUGAGAAAGGACCGUAAGUGAAACGUUUCAAGAUGAAGAUUUUAAUCUGAAUAAAAAAAAAAAAAAAGGGGCUAAAGUUGAUUUUCCGAUGAGAAGAAGUGGCAAGUGUUAUUUCAGCCCUAAUCUUCUUUAUAAUGUCUUCUUAAUGAUUCGAUGAGAAGCAAGGCAAGUGUAGUUUCUUAUGUUCUAUGUUUCUUAUAGACAGUUAAAAGCCAUCGGAAAUUGCCAGACAUAAAAGUAUGUUAAAAAAAUUCGGUGUCGUGAAGCUUCUUCUCAGGGACUCCUAAGAUUUGGACUACAAAGACGUGUUGAGUGGAGGUGGAGAAUUUGAAGUGAUUACAAGUCAUGGUCAAGGAAUGUGUAUUUUUAAAGAACUGAAGGCUCAACUCACCGAAGGUCUUGUUAAGCUUCAUUCAAACUUGUUCUUUGAAUUUUUGAUGCCGAUGACAAACAAGACCAAAUGAGAUAACUCAAUGCGAAGAAGAUGGAGAAGAAAACAUAGGGGGUGAAUGAUUACGUUUGGGUUUAUGUAGUUCUUUAAACUCCUUAUCUAGUGUUUAUGACAUGUAGAAUUUGUGUUUGUGGCUUUCUGACAAUUAACGAAGUAUUUGGAUAUUAAAUACACC
Molecule: non-coding RNA, 1204 nt
Organism: Camelina sativa (false flax)
Lineage: Eukaryota; Viridiplantae; Streptophyta; Magnoliopsida; Brassicales; Brassicaceae
Source: RefSeq, a predicted model, not a curated record